CAGUUUUCUGGCUUUUAAAAAAAUGUUUUAGUAUGUAAUUGCAAUGGAAUUGCCAGGUCACAGCCUGAACCAAUGGUUGAGCACCAGGUGAGAAGGCUAACCCAGGAGCUCAGGUUCAAGCAAUAUAGCUGAGUGACCAGAACAGGUGAGCCUGGAUCCACUCCUCCUCACCCUCAUUUAAGGAUUAGCAGCUGAGGAAGCAGCUUGUUUCUGGAUGGAUACUGCAUUCUUCUUGAGCUGUCAUUGGAAAGGGCUUUUGAACUGGGAUAUGUGCAAAGAAGAAAUCGCUCUAUUCUGGUGUGGUAAGUCCAGUUAAGUGUUUUGAAGCUUGGACGGCAACUGUUUGCAUUUCCCUGGUGGAAGCCUCCAGAUGAGACGAGUGCUAAGAAGUGAACUUUUUAUGUUCAGCUGGACAAAUUGUCAUUCCUAUCGAGUGCUCGUGCUUGAGCUACAGAAGGCAUUUGACACCACUGGACUUUAAAGCUCUUUCUGAGGAGUAUCACAACCCGGCCUUGAGAGAUCUGCAGUUUUGGAGUGUUUCAGGUUUUUAAGAGGUACUUCGAUUACAUGAGGUAGUGAGUAAGGAUGAAGUGAAGGAGAAGUAACAAAGAAAGGGCUGCAUAUUUUCUGCUUUACAUGGUCGUGAAUGAGAUCUGCUCUGAGCACCAGGAGCAAUGUUGCCAGAGAUCAGCACACCACCCAGGGGAUGCCAAUUGUAGGUGUGCAGAAAUAAUGGUGUGACUCAAGACUGCUUUGACAGGCAAAUCCAUCUGAAGUCUGGGCAUAUCUAUCUAUUGGCUGGAAAAAAAGUUGAACCGUUUGUGUAAGAAAUAACAAUUCACACAAGUUCCUAACAUGAAUGAGCACAUACAAAGUAUGAAAAACUGUUCUACAGCUUCAAGUGUGACAGCUUGUUCAGCAAGGUGCUACAUAGUAUAAUUGCUCUGUAAAGGGAGUAGAUGUUUUGUCUUUGUUUUACUUUUUAUUGGAUGCUCGAGGUGGUUAUGUAGUCUGCAUCUACUACGCAUUAUGUACUGGUUACAUGCCGGUACUGCCCAGUUAUGCCUGACCAACUCCUCUUUGCUGUGGUUGUUUCUCUUCCACUCUCCCCACCUUGAAAGCCUCAGACAUCCAAGCCAGAGCUAUUUCAGUAACUGCAGCUAUGCCACUGAAUUGUAACUUUCAUUUUAUGUUGGGGAACUAAUCUGAGAGAUGCCUAAUGAUCCCAGGAGAAGGAUCUCCCAGCACAGCAUAAUCUAAUGGAUAUUUAGAGUGGCAAUCUAGCAGGGACAACAAAUGAAGCAGUGCUGGAAAUCCAUGGUUGCAACAGCAGCUCAAAUUUAAAACGUUUCUGCUCCCUGUAUCUGCAUUUCACACAGCUAUCAGUAUCAGCUUAUUCUGUAAGCUUAGCUGGCUCUUCUCUUCCUCCUCAAAAUCCCUCCCAGAAGCUCCUUGCUGCAGCCCUGUUUGCCAAUUAGCCUCUGCUUCUGUUGUGUGCAGCUAUGGCUUAGGAAAAAGCAGUACUUUUUUUAUUCCAUCUGUGGAACAAACUGCCUUGUGCUUCUGUUCCACCCAAGGGGAGGAUCUUUGGCCCCCUAAAACUGUUUGGCUUCCUUCCACCCAUGACUGUACCAUGGGUGUAGGUCAAACCUGCCAUGCCAUUCUGUUGUUAGCCUACCAACGCAGGGCAUCUGCAUUCCUACUGACACGUGGUUGAGGAUGUCUGGCAACAUCUUUGCUUCCAAAGCAUGCAACAGACUCAUUACUUUCUCUCCUUCCGGAAAAAUAAAGUCAGGAAAACCUCUUGUUUCACACUGAGCUGUGCAGGAUGUUGGAAGCUCCUUUUGAGCCAUCAUCUCACAGGCUGUAUGGCUGCCUUCUUUCUUCUUAAGAGUAACUGGGGACCCUGAAGUGGAGACUGAGUCUCUCCUUUCAUUUGGUUGUAUUGGGUGAAUUACCUACUUUGGAGCCUCAUGGAAGAGGUGUUGUAAAUGAAAGCAGCUUUUGCAUGUUUUUAUUUUUCUUCCCAGAAAAUCUCUUACCCAUUUCACACCUGGUCAUUUUCAUGUCCAUAACCUGAAAAACAGUCCAAGUAGCACAUAGUGAACUUCAUUAUUAGCAUACGUGGUAAAUCACAGUGCAAGAGUUAGAUUUGGUUUUGCAAUUGGAAUACAUACAUAUCUAUCCAUAGCUUUAUGGUCUGGACAUUAGAGAAGAAUUCAUCCAGAUGGAUGGAGAAGGGAAAUCACUUGUAAAUUGCAAAUGAAAAUGUCUCAGUCUCUAUAGAUUUGGCACAGAAAUAGGAGCAGUGGGAAAAAGCAGCUUAUUCACCCUUUAAGGUGAAAAGAAAGCAUGUUCCCAAAAUAUAUUAAAUCACAGAUCUAGUCAUAUACUCUUCCAUGUUACAUGAUAGAUUCAUUUCUGUUCUUUUAAAACCAUCCUUUUGUGGUCCAUUAGACCAGCUUACCAACUGGGUUGCUGGUAGGUUAAAUUUGUAGUUGUAAUCUCUUGAUGUUAAAACAAUCUUUUUUCUUGAACUUGCAGGCGCAGAGCCAUGUCUUUCAGUAUGCUACUAUUAGUAGGCAAAGAACUAUAAUUUGCAUAUUGGAAAAUGAAGUGGGGAGAUGUUUAACGUUCACCGUUAGUUUUUAAUUAAGAAAUUAAUACGAUGAGCCAAUAAGACCUUUAAUUCUGUGUCUGUACUAGAUACUGAUACCAAUAAAUUCUUUGUAUUUCUUUUUUGUUAAAACUGUGAGCCGUGUCUCUUUCUCACUGCUGUCAAACAGGCAGUCCUGGAUGCACUAAUGCACCUGAAUGACUUUACUUAGGUGAGUGCUUUAUAUUGAUUGGGAUUGGCACUGGGUUAAUUUGGAGGCUCUGGAGCACUCAGUUGAGAGCUCUUAGGAACAGGA
Molecule: long non-coding RNA, 2912 nt
Organism: Gallus gallus (chicken)
Lineage: Eukaryota; Metazoa; Chordata; Aves; Galliformes; Phasianidae
Source: Ensembl